CAUUUUCCUGGCGCAGGCUCAGGGCACACCACAAUUCACCUGAGGAGUCAGACGCCGGGGAGCCAGCUCCCAUUCCUGGCGAGAGGUGUCAGCCCCGACUGGUGCAGAGUGCGAGGAGCUGGCAGAAAACCAUCUAGGAUGAAAAAGCAGUGCUUGUGUAUCCACAUCUGACCUGAAAGCUCCGUGUGGACCUGGGAGACUGAAACCCACCAUUGGCACAAAGCAAAAUCAGGACUAGCCAGCACUCAAAGGUGAAAAUUAAAGCAGGACACAAGGAACCCACUGACUGCAAUACAUUCAGUCGUGGAUGAUUCAUGGAGUAAUUCUGAGUAGCAAACACACUGGGCACAAAGAACAUCCAAAGAUGGAGCAGGUGACCAGGCCUGUACCAGGGAGACACUGAGCAGACAUGGACCCAGAGGCCCCAGAGACCAGCUGGGGUGCCAGGGCAGAGAUGAUUGCCAGGAAAUUGGUUUGAAGGUAAAGCUGGCGUCGUCCAGCCUGGCUGUUCGUUAUUUGAGGGCUCAUCAUCAUCUUCCCAUGGAUUCCUACUUCCCAACUAUGUCCACGCCUUGCAGAGGGUUCCUUGAUCUGCUGGUUUGUAUCUAGAGGGCUGCUGCAAAAGUUGUUGUGCUGGCCAGUGGCUUAGACCACAUCAUUCCUCCCCAUGCUCCUCCCUGGCACCCUCUUUUUUUUCUGCCCCAAUUGUGGACUCUUCAUCUUCCCCCUCCCAGCCCUUCAUUAUCCACCUCUCCUCCACCCAGCAUCUCCCAUGCAACAGAGACUGUCUCCAUCGCC
Molecule: long non-coding RNA, 798 nt
Filed under: Melopsittacus undulatus (budgerigar)
Lineage: Eukaryota; Metazoa; Chordata; Aves; Psittaciformes; Psittaculidae
Description: lncRNA (ENSMUNG00000021945.1)
Source: RNAcentral